CAUUUAAACAUAUAUACCAACGAUGCGGAAGCAUCACAUGCAAUUAAACCUGUUAUGGUUUUAGCAAAUGAGAAUUGAUAAAUCAACAGAUAUGAUUGGAAAAUAUACUAUACCUGUAUACUACAAUCAAUACAAACAUAGAUACUGUUAAUGGAUUUGAUACUGUGAUCUAUUACGUUAAAGUUACAAUGGCGACAGUAAAUGUUCCUUCUGUGUCAAAGAAAACAUUAUCAACUAUAUCAGUUUUCGAUAAAAAUACAGUUGACAUAAAAGUCGACCAUUCUUCAAAAAAUGCAACUGUAACAUAUGAUAACCAGACAACAAAAACUGGAACUAAUCAAUUUGCAGAAAAACCUGCAGGAAAGAUAAAAGGAAUGAUAUCGGAUCUUGAACUCAUGUGAUGGACAAAGACUAUACAUGAAUAUGUGUGUUAACAUAAGAUUAAAAUGAAGCCUUUCCGGUUUUUUUCUGCAAUGUGAAUUUGAUUUCUACUUUAGCAUACAUUUCCAUUUUUAUAUUUGUAUUUUCAUGUUAAAUAAGAAAGAAAAUACAACGCUCGAUUUGUUUAUAUCUAAACAUUAGAUCUGUUAUCAAAUUAAACAUGUUGGUAAAUA
Molecule: long non-coding RNA, 614 nt
Organism: Mytilus californianus (California mussel)
Lineage: Eukaryota; Metazoa; Mollusca; Bivalvia; Mytilida; Mytilidae
Exons: 2
Source: RefSeq, a predicted model, not a curated record